RNAcentral lists this ribosomal RNA (253 nucleotides) under uncultured bacterium. Its description in RNAcentral is "partial 16S ribosomal RNA". It matches the Rfam family "Bacterial small subunit ribosomal RNA", at positions 524 to 776 of the family's 1533-position model. The record is from RNAcentral.
UACGGGGGGGGCAAGCGUUGUUCGGAAUUACUGGGCGUAAAGGGGACGUAGGCGGCCAACUAAGUCCGACGCGAAAUCCCCAGGCUUAACCUGGGAACUGCAUCCGAUACUGGAUGGCUUGAAUCCGGGAGAGGGAUGCAGAAUUCCAGGUGUAGCGGUGAAAUGCGUAGAUAUCUGGAGGAAUACCGGUGGCGAAGGCGGCAUCCUGGACCGGCAUUGACGCUGAGGAGCGAAAGCUAGGGGAGCAAACGGG